This is a long non-coding RNA of Heterocephalus glaber (naked mole-rat), 973 nucleotides long. RefSeq lists it as uncharacterized. NCBI's taxonomy places the organism in Eukaryota, Metazoa, Chordata, Mammalia, Rodentia, Bathyergidae. The record is from RefSeq and is a predicted model, not a curated record.
CCAUUUUGGACAGACACCUCCGACUCUCGAAGACUUUCCCUGUGGUCAGAUACCUGCCUUGAAGUGCCUCCCAUUGUGGUCAGACACAUCCAAAUCCAGAUGCAACAUAGUACCCCCAGGCUUACGGCACUUACUUUCGUAAAAAGACUGGCCAAGAAUGAAGAAUGAUAUUGACAUCUGCCUUAUGGAAUAAAGUAUUACCAUCUAUCUUUCAAAUAUCAGUCUCAUAAAGUAAGGAGACACCGGCCUGAGCGGCACAGGCUCGGAGACGGCGUGACUACACCAAGUAUAUAACCAGUUUUCAUGAAAGCCAACAGAGAAACAAAGCACCUUUUGGUGGGUGGCCUUAGCCAAGCUAUUUCUAAGAUGGACCUACAAAAUCAGUUCAGCAGAUUUGGAGAAGUUUCUGAUGUGGAGAUCAUCACAUGAAAAGAUGACCAAGGAAAUGCACAGAAAGUCUUUGCAUAUGUUAACAUUAGAGUAGCAGAAGCAGACCUAAAAAAAUAAUAAUAAUAAUGUUCUUUGUCAUUACUUUUUUCCUCUUUUUCAUGUUACUGCAUUUGGUGUUUCAUUUCCUGGAUCUGUAGAUUUAUUAUUUUCAGCAAGUUUGGAAAAUUUCCAAUUGUUAAUUUUGUAUUGAACAUAUUUCAGACUCUGAUAUUAUCUUAAAGCCUGUUAAAUCUUAUUUUUAAUUUUCUUUUCUGUGUGUUUUAUUUGAUAUGGCAUCUAAUACUAUAUUAUAAGAUUUCUAGUCUUUUCUUCUGCAGUGACUAAUCUACUGUUAACCCUGUCCAGUUCACAUCUUAUGUAAUUGUUACUAAUUUUCCGGUUCACUUCUGGUCAUGUUCUUGCUUUUCUAUAUGUCUUAGUAACUUGUCUCUCAUUGCUGACACAAAAUACCCGACAUCCAAAGUUAAAGAGGAAAAGGUUUAUUUAGCUCACAGUUCUUAGAUAUUUCAGUCCACAGUCAGCU